Molecule: small nuclear RNA, 121 nt
Organism: Nannospalax galili (Upper Galilee mountains blind mole rat)
Lineage: Eukaryota; Metazoa; Chordata; Mammalia; Rodentia; Spalacidae
Gene: U5
Rfam family: U5 spliceosomal RNA
About the family: U5 RNA is a component of both types of known spliceosome. The precise function of this molecule is unknown, though it is known that the 5' loop is required for splice site selection and p220 binding, and that both the 3' stem-loop and the Sm site are important for Sm protein binding and cap methylation.
Source: Ensembl
AUACUUUGGUUUCUCUUCAGAUCAUAUACAUCUUUUACCUUUUAUUAAAGAUUUCCAGGGAGGGGAACUAGUCUGAAUCUUAACCCAAUUUUUAGGCCUUGCAAUAUAAUUUAGGGCAAGG